AAAAUACUCCCUCCAAUCCAUAUUACUUGUCGCACAAACAUAUGUAUCUAAAGAUAUUUUAGUGCUUGAUACAUCGAUUUGAGCAACAAGUAAUAUGGAUUGGAGGGAGUAUAUC
This is a non-coding RNA of Triticum aestivum (bread wheat), 115 nucleotides long. NCBI's taxonomy places the organism in Eukaryota, Viridiplantae, Streptophyta, Magnoliopsida, Poales, Poaceae. The record is from Rfam.